This 226-nucleotide long non-coding RNA is filed under the name Homo sapiens (human). RNAcentral describes it as "non-protein coding lnc-TMEM150C-3:1". Lineage: Eukaryota; Metazoa; Chordata; Mammalia; Primates; Hominidae. The record is from RNAcentral.
UACUAAUAGGUUGAAAAAGAGGUGGUGGCAAGGAAAAUGGAGAGGAGUCCAGGCAGCCAUUUGCAUGUGUGUUUGUGUAUUUAAUAAGGACCACGUGUUCCACCGUUACGCUGGCUUAGUGGAGGAUUUCAGACUGUUCUAUGUCUCCUCACUUGGGGCUUGGGCUGCCCUUUCAUUCCACCGCCAUUCCUAGAGGUGUCAAGAUACCCGCCUUCACCUUUAUGCA